Molecule: long non-coding RNA, 3941 nt
Organism: Ictalurus punctatus (channel catfish)
Lineage: Eukaryota; Metazoa; Chordata; Actinopteri; Siluriformes; Ictaluridae
Source: Ensembl
CUGCUUUCCUAUCUGUUUACCUGUUGUCUGAACGUCUUUCUGUCUGUCUCCCUGUCUGUCUGUCUGUCUCCGUGUCUGUCUCUCUAUCUGGUUUCCUGUCUGGCUUUGUGCCUGGCUUCCUGUCUGUCUGACUCACUGUCUGUCUGUCAUUCUGUUUGUCUCCCUGUCUGUCUCCCUGUCUGUCUCCCUACCUGGCUUCCUGUCUGUCUCUCUGUCUUCCUGUCUGUCUGACUCACUGUCUGUCCGCCUUCCUAUCUGUUUACCUGUUGUCUGUCUUCCUGAAUGUCUUUCUGUCUGUCUCCCUGUCUGUCUGUCUGUCUCCGUGUCUGUCUCUCUACCUGGUUUCCUGUCUGGCUUUGUGCCUGGCUUCCUGUCUGUCUCUCUGUCUUCCUGUCUGUCUGACUCACUGUCUGUCUGCCUUCCUGUCUGUUUACUUGUCUGUCUGUCUCCCUGUCUCUCUCCCUAACUGUGUGUCUGUCUCCCUGUCUGCCUAUCUGUCUCCCUGUGUCUCUCUCUCUGUCUGUCCAUCUCCCUCCCUUCCUGUCUGUCUGUCUGUGUAACUGCUGCUGCUGUCUCUGUAUCUGUCUGCCUGUCUGUCUCACUGUCUUUCUGUAUAACAUCGUCUAUUUUUGUAUCUAAUGAAAAACAACAGUUCUUUAAGAGUUCCUUAACUUUCUACAAAUGUUUCUUUCGCUUUUUCAUGAUAUAUUCAGAAUUCCUAUCUCAUAAUUUAAGUCAGUAUGACUCACUAACUGCGGCUUAAGCGCCUCAAAUUCAUUCCCUGGUUAAAAACGACACAGAGUAAUCAGAGAAAGAGAGCGAGACGACCAUCUGACACGCUCUUAGAGCAGUACGCCUCCGAGUACACUACCACUGCUUCCAGUUUCAUUUCAAAAUAAAAACCUGAUAACUAGGUUAAAGUGUGAGUGUGUUAUGUAAAGAAUAAACGACUCAGUGUCGUGGAAAAGAAUCAAAUGAUGAAGAGGAGUCACUGUUACUACACUGAUUACUUUCCUACAGCAGUUGUAACAGUGUCGUAUUUAUCAAAGACUGACACGUCAUGCUUUUCAUCUGUUUAUAGUGACAGUACUGGUGUAGUUCAUAUCCUCCCUUACGUUAUAGCAGCUAUAAAUGCUCCUCUCUCACCAGCCCUCUCUUUUUUCCUCUCUCUUAAAGUUAUAAGACAAAAACAAGCAGUUUGUCACUCCUCUGUCCUGAAGUACCUCGAAAAACUUAAACUUACAGCUUUACCUCUGACUGAUGCAAACCACUGACGCUGGAGACAUUAAAAACAUGCUUUUUAAUCCGUUUAUGUGGCGCGCACGCUUCACAAGUCUGUGCUGUUACUAUAGAAACAAUGAAGUAUUCGAAUAAAUAAUAUGAAGCUGUGAUUUGCAGCUGCGCUACUGUCCGAGCUGCUGUUCGGAAAGAUAAGUUGCUGCGUGCGCGCGUGUGUGUGUGUGUGUGUGUGGUCUCGGAUGUAUAGGGUGUGUUCGGGGUGUGUGUGUGACUCUGUGUCAUGCGCUGCCAGCUGAAUAAUGAAGUGGAGCUCACACAGCGUGCUGGAGGAGAUAAGAGAGAUUCACUUCUCUCAGAUUUGGCAGACGAGUGUCCACUGAGACAGAUAAAAAAUUAACCACUCGCUCACACACAGCGCCUAAUUCAGGAUUUCGGGGGAAGAGAUGAUUCUGAGUGCGCACCAAACACACACACACACACAGGCUUCCCUCUCUCCAUUUCUAUUUCUUACGGUGAGAAUGGGAGCGAUGAUGUAAAAGGUGUGAGAUGUACCUAAUAGUGAGGGGAAUUCCAGCUCUUUAUUAGCGAGUCGGUGAAUUAUUUGACUCAUAAAUAAGAGUCGACUCUUUCGCCUCCCAAACCACUUUUUUUUUUUUAAAUAAAAGUUGUUAGACUGAAUCAGUGAAUCAGCUGCGUGUCAUCAAAUGUGCACUGACAUCAACAAACUUUAAUUGUCCCUGCUGCACUGUUUGUGCUUAAUUAAGAAGAUUUAAGGUCCUAGGUCUAGGUCCUACCUGUGACUAGGUCUAGGUCCUACCUGUGACUAGGUCUAGAUCCUACCUGUGACUAGGUCUAGGUCCUACCUGUGACUAGGUCUAGAUCAGACCUGUGACUAGGUCUAGAUCCUACCCGUGACUAGGUCUAGGUCCUACCCGUGACUAGGUCUAGGUCCUACCCGUGACUAGGUCUAGAUCCUACCCGUGACUAGGUCUAGGUCCUACCCGUGACUAGGUCUAGGUCCUACCUGUGACUAGUUCCUGUUAACAGUUUGACGAACCGUGGUUUUAUCUUAUCCUCUCACUGCUACUUCCUUCCAAGUUGUUUUGGUCUUCAUAAUGUCUCCGAACACACGUAUACUUUUAUACACAUGUAAUGAGAGGUCGUACAUCAGUCGAGUGAGCGACCUCUCAUUACAUGUGUAUAAAAGCAUUACGUGCGUUCAGAGACGUUAUGAAGAACGAAAUAGCUUGGAAGGAAGUAGCAGUGAGCGCACGUAGCUAAUACAGUUAGCUUGCUUUGCUAAUCUUAUCUGAGAACAAAGCUAGUACGAAGCCGAGCAUGCGACAUGUAACACAAAUAUAUGUGUAUAAAUAGUACAGCAGAGUGCAGGAUGUAGAUUUUCACUACUGUUUCUGGACAGGCCACGCCCACAAUCAACAACAGUAACGCUGCUACACACACACACACACACACUCAUUUAAUAUGACAUUAUAAUCUCCUGAAAAUUAUGAUCAGAGUCAGCGUUAUGAUCAGGGUCGAACCGUUUCAGUCGGAGGGAACCGUACCGGAAAAGCUUUUGUUGUGCAACUGUACUGGACACAACACACACUCACACACACACACACACAAGCAGUUGAAGAGCUGCUCACACCUCAAUACAACAACUCUAAAUAUACACCAUAUGUUUACAGCCUGCGCUUCUCUUCCACUCUGAGUCACUACAGGAACAGGAUCAUGAGCGCAAAACUCUGAUAUAGAAACCCUGUACGUCCUGCCCUGCUGGAAAAUACUACAGAAACCCUGAUAGAAUUUGUAAUGGUUUUAAUGGUUAUAAUGGGAAUUGUAUUGGUUGUAAUGGAAACUGUAAUACUCCCUGUGAGUCUCUACUGGUAAUUUGUUGCCUUCUAUUGGUCUAGUAAAUACCAUUAAGGACCACUAAUGGUAAUGGUUUAAUGGUUAGCUGAUGGAUUGUAAUGGUAUUUGUACUGGAAACCAUUAGAAUUUCUGUGAUGGUUUCUACUGGGGUUUUUUUUUUCCAGCUGGGAAGUUUCCAACCGCCUGCUUGAGGAGCACGAUGUAUUUCUCAUAUUAUCAUUAAACAUGAACAUUUUGGCCAAAACGAGAUUUUGUAAGUGACGCCAUGUUUAAAGCGCUGAUAAUCCUGAUAAGUUUGAACAUCUUUAAUAUCGAUUACUUCUGUUUUAUAAGAGUCAAAAAGCGGUUUUAGUGAAAUGGGGCUUUGUGUGAAGGGUUUAUGCUAUGCAUCAUGAUAUUUAGGUAUGCAAACCAAAGUGGCAGAGAAAAAAAAGACAUUAAAAUAGUGACAGUUUUUAAACAUUUGCACAGUAAAGAGAGAGAGAAAGAGAGAGAAAGAGACAGAAUGACUCAUCUAGUACACCAGAAUAUUUUUAAUGUUCGAUCUUACAAACAUUACUGCUCACAGUGACUAAACAUAACUAUAAAAGGGUAAUAAAGUACGGCUGAUAAAAAGCCACACUGACAAUAUUAAAGCAGCGGUGUGUAAAGUUUAAGCGCCCUCUUGCUGCCUGGAACUGCGACUGCAAUUAGAUAACAGACCCCCCUUCACUUCACUUUCCCCCUCCCACCGCCGUUAUUAAAGCUAUUUGAAGGGGUGGAGCUAGGCAUGUGGACAGAGCAUAUUUCAGGGCUGGAAAACUGUAAAAAGGCCAAAAUGAUUUUUU